RNAcentral lists this ribosomal RNA (253 nucleotides) under uncultured bacterium. RNAcentral's name for it is "partial 16S ribosomal RNA". It matches the Rfam family "Bacterial small subunit ribosomal RNA", at positions 524 to 776 of the family's 1533-position model. The record is from RNAcentral.
UACAGAGGGUGCAAGCGUUAAUCGGAAUUACUGGGCGUAAAGCGCGCGUAGGUGGUUCGUUAAGUUGGAUGUGAAAUCCCCGGGCUCAACCUGGGAACUGCAUCCAAAACUGGCAAGCUAGAGUAUGGUAGAGGGUGGUGGAAUUUCCUGUGUAGCGGUGAAAUGCGUAGAUAUAGGAAGGAACACCAGUGGCGAAGGCGACCACCUGGACUGAUACUGACACUGAGGUGCGAAAGCGUGGGGAGCAAACAGG